RNAcentral lists this long non-coding RNA (231 nucleotides) under Daucus carota (carrot). RNAcentral's name for it is "long non-coding RNA (DCAR_LNC004566)". The record is from RNAcentral. Lineage: Eukaryota; Viridiplantae; Streptophyta; Magnoliopsida; Apiales; Apiaceae.
AAUUAAAUAUGUGUUGCAUCAUGCAUUUUAACACUUAGGGCACAUCAUUUAGAUUUUAAUUUUUUGUUUUUAAAUUUUCGUACCUUUAAUUGUGGUGAUCGCUGGAGGACCCUAAGGUGCGUUAAUUUCUUUCUUUCUCUAGAUUAGGACACGUAGUUUAAGCAUCCAUAGUUGUUUAUCGCUUUAAUUAUCUCGUUGUGUGAUGCAUCAUUUUAAAUAAAUCUUAAGGGC